Molecule: long non-coding RNA, 866 nt
Organism: Nematostella vectensis (starlet sea anemone)
Lineage: Eukaryota; Metazoa; Cnidaria; Anthozoa; Actiniaria; Edwardsiidae
Exons: 2
Source: RefSeq, a predicted model, not a curated record
GAAGCACGUGCUCUGAUCCCACACUUUGACAACCGAUGAAGUCGCACACUUUGGCUGGAUCCGGUUGCUCAAAAUUCCAAGCAUACCCCAAGGGAAGGCUUCGCUGGUCAACCGUAGUAGCGUCCAGUGUUGGGCGCUCAGGAUGGUUCCCUGAUGUUUGUGGUAGAGCAUGUCACUUAGCUGAGCCAGGGUCGCCUUGUAGUAAUGCCUCCGGCAGUGUAUAACAAACAUCAUUGCAACAUGCAACAAGGAGUGUUGAUAUUCUUAAACACAAGGAGACACAAUCUCAUCUAGUAGGUGAAUUAAUGUCAUAUACUCUGUCCCUUUGUAUUUAGUGCCAAACUGCCUUAACACAAUUUCCCUAACAAGCAGCCAGCCCCCAAAACAUGCUGUUAUUAGUGUACUAGUACGAUACGAUUUUGGUUUCUUUGCAAGGAUUUUCCUUGCACCAAAAAUUGCCUUAUACAUCAGCUCAAACAGAAAUCUAUAAAUGACAACGACAUUCUGCUGGGCAUUAUAGGAGAUGUGGAAUGGCCCAUGCCACGGGAUCAGGGAUAUCUGAAAAUUCAGUUGCCGUGGGUUCCACUGAAAGAAAGAAAAACACAAAGUUUUUACCAUUUGCUAAACUCUAAUGGAAUAAUUUAAACUGUUCUGUGUGUGUAUUUAUUUUAAAAUCACUGUGCUUACAGACAGUUUCCCUCAAAUUCUGAAAUUAGAGAAUCGUUUCUUUUUUGUGCAUACAAUAUCACUUAAGUUCAUUAUACAGUAUAGCCAAUGCUAUAUCUUACAACUGAUGCACAUCAAAACUAUUUUUGGUCAUUGUUUUGCUUUGGAGUUCUUGACAUUUUAAUAAAUUUCCUUUUUUU